UCUUGUCAAGCUUGGUGGUGGAGCUCUUAAGGAGAGCAGCCUCUUCUCCUCUUCCUUGGGAGCAUCUUGCUGGAGACAUCUUCUGCAACUUUAGAAGUUUUUUGUUUCUCCUUGGAAGAAGGCUAGAGCUUGGGCUUGAACGAAGUUCCCUUCACUGGCUAGUGUAGAGAUCUUGUAGCGAGCCUUAGUUCGUGGGACUUGGUAAACCCGACUCUGUAGCUCGGAGCCAGGAGAAGAUCAAGUCUAGGAUCGGGGGGUGUCUAGGAGUUAUAUUUUCAGCUUUUAUCAGUAUCUAUGUAGUGCACUUUUCUGCGAGUGUAAGGCUUGUAUUCUGACUGUAUUUGUGUUUUGCAAAAACUGUUGUGUUGUCUUUCCUUUCUGUAGGGUUGCUAAAGCCCGUAAUUGUAGUAUUUCAG
Molecule: long non-coding RNA, 416 nt
Organism: Dioscorea cayenensis subsp. rotundata (Guinea yam)
Lineage: Eukaryota; Viridiplantae; Streptophyta; Magnoliopsida; Dioscoreales; Dioscoreaceae
Exons: 3
Source: RefSeq, a predicted model, not a curated record